RNAcentral lists this small RNA (29 nucleotides) under Bombyx mori (domestic silkworm). RNAcentral describes it as "ovarian small RNA-16818". Lineage: Eukaryota; Metazoa; Arthropoda; Insecta; Lepidoptera; Bombycidae. The record is from RNAcentral.
GCGACGUUGAUAGCCGCAGCUGCGGUGUC